This 463-nucleotide long non-coding RNA is filed under the name Panax ginseng (ginseng). RNAcentral's name for it is "long non-coding RNA (PGIN_LNC012301)". The record is from RNAcentral. Lineage: Eukaryota; Viridiplantae; Streptophyta; Magnoliopsida; Apiales; Araliaceae.
GAAAGGAGUAAGAUUAUAAUUGCCGAGUUAAUACAGGAGAAGCAAGAAAUUACAAUGUUGCUAGAGCGAAAAGCUGAGGAAUCUGUCAAGCUUGCAUCUGAUCUUGAUAGUCUGAGAGAAAGUUUGAGAUGUCUGCAAGACGAGCUGCAUGUUGAAAAAGGCUUCCGGGACAAACUAGAUGGUACAGUUACAGAACUUGAAAGGAGCAAGAUAUCCAUUGCUGAGUUAAUACAGAACAAGCAAGGUCUUACGAUGUUGUUAGAGGCUAAAGCUGAGGAAUCUGUCAAGCUUGCAUCUGAUCUUGAGAGUCUGAGAGAAAGUUUGAGAUGUCUGCAAGAUGAGCUGCAUGUUGAAAAAGGCUUCCGGGACAAACUAGAGGUUACUGUUGCAGAACUUGAAAGGAGCAAGAUGACCAUUGCUGAGUUAAUACAGUACAAACAAGGUCUUACGAUGUUGUUAGAGG